UGUGCAUCCACUUAGCUAUAAAUGUCUCUAAUUUCUCGUUCUUUAUGGCUGAGUAGUACUCCAUUUUAUUAAAAAAAAAAUCUUUAUCCAGUCUCCAGUUACUGGGCAAUUGGGCUGUUUCCAAGUUUUAGCUAUUACAAACCGCCCCUAUAAACAUGGGUGCACAUAUAUCACUGUGGUGUGAUUCUUUUAAUUCUUCUGGGAAGAUACGUAGUAGAGGAAUACCUGGGACAAAUGAGACUUCCAAUCCUAGUUGUUUGAGGUAGCUCCAUAUAGAUGUCCACAGUGGUUGCACCAGUCUACACUCCCACGAACAAUGAAGAAGGGUUCGUUUCUCCCCACAACCUCAGCAGCACUUGUUAUUGGUUGAUAUCAUGAUAGCAGCCAUUCUUUCUGAAGUGAGGUGGAAUCAGCAUUGUUUUCAUCUCCAUCUCUCGAAUGACCAGUGAUGUUGAACAUUUUUUCAUAUAUUAAUUUGCUGCUUUUACUUCUUUGACAAAUGUCAAUUUCAAUUCCACCGCUCCCAGGGCAGAGGAGGUGAGCCAAUCCCAGCGCCCAAGAGGAGGCUCCCCAGUCGCCAUUCCACUGCUCCCAGGGCAGAGGAGGUGAGCCAAUCCCAGCACCCAAAAGGAGGCUCCCCAGCCCCCAUUCCACCACUCCCAGGGCAGAGGAGGUGAGCCAUGCAGGCACCAGCAGCACCUCGCCCCCAGCAUGGAAAUGAAAAGACAUGUAAACAAGCCUCAAACACAGACUUCCAUAUCACCUAGAGCAACCCCAAAGGGAAAUGAGAUGGAACACUCUGAUACUCAACCACCUGGACUCUCUGAACUGGCAACAAAAGAGGAUCUGGGAAAAAUGAAAUCAGAAAUAAUUACUCAGAUAACAACAAAGAUUGUGCCCAUAGUGCAAGACAUGAUUAAUAAAUCUAGAGAGGACACAUAAAAAAAAUAGAGGAUCUGAGGAACAUGAUGGAAUCCCAACAUAGAAACAAAUGGAAUCCAUAAAACAGAUGCAAACAGAUUUCCAGGAGAUUAAAACUCCAUCGAAAGUCUGCACAGCAGAAUGAACCAAUGUGAGGAUAGAAUUUCACAUAUACAAGAUAAGAUUGCAAAUAGUGACCACGAAAAGAAAAAUUGCUUUAAAAUAGUAAAGGAAAAUGAGAAAAUCAAUCCAGCAGCUGCUAGAUGAUGCAAAGAAGAAUAACAUAAGACUGAUCGGAGUCAAUGAAGAAAGAGGAGAGAGUGCAGAUGACAUUAAAAAAAACUGUUCACAGAAGUGAUGGCAGAAAACUUCUCAAGGAGGGGAAAAGAACUUGACAUACAGAUAAGUGAGGCAUAUAAGACUCCAGCUAGCCUUGAUCAAAAAAAAUCUACACAUAGGCUUAUAAUAGGAUUCCAGAAAUCCAACAGAAGAACAAAAUUCUACAAGCAGUGAGAGAAAAGAAACAAAUCACAUACAAAGGAAAGCCCAUCAGAAUCACAGCAGACUUCUCAGUGCAAAUCCUGAAGGCAAGAAGAGCUUGGAGUGAUGUAUUUCAAGCCCUAAAGGAAAACAGCCUCCAGCCCAGAUUGAUGUACCCUGCAAAACUUCCUUUCAAAAUUGAUGGAGAAAUAAGAUACUUUCAUGAUAAAGAGCACCUCAGGAACUUCAUGAAUACCAAAUCAGCACUCUAAAAAAUUUUAGACAAUACCCUAGGAAAAGACAAUGAGGAUCACAACCCCAGGAAGCCCAGCAGAAUGAAUCUAUUGGGCGUGACAAACUCAAAGGGGGAGAAUCCAACAAAAAGAAAAGUCAUGACAAGGCUUUUGAAACUUUUAACUUCAUCUCCCUAAUGAGUGUAUAAUUCAGUGUUGUUAUUGUACUGAUUAGUAUUUUUCUGAUUCUAGAGUUGCACACCUUUCCUUGUGCUAUACUGGCUAUUUAUCAUUUUAUCAUCUUAUGUCUACAUUUUAAUUGGGUUGUCUAUUAAUGAGCUGUAAGAGUUCUUUAUAUAUUCUGGUCACAGGUUAUAUGCAUUGUAAAUACGAUCUGUUUAAG
Molecule: long non-coding RNA, 2037 nt
Filed under: Heterocephalus glaber (naked mole-rat)
Lineage: Eukaryota; Metazoa; Chordata; Mammalia; Rodentia; Bathyergidae
Description: lncRNA (ENSHGLG00100047256.1)
Source: RNAcentral